RNAcentral lists this ribosomal RNA (289 nucleotides) under uncultured bacterium. RNAcentral describes it as "partial 16S ribosomal RNA". It matches the Rfam family "Bacterial small subunit ribosomal RNA", at positions 29 to 289 of the family's 1533-position model. The record is from RNAcentral.
AUGAACGCUGGCGGCGUGGAUAAGGCAUGCAAGUCGAACGGUUUUCUUUAUUGAAGAAGAUGCGAUUACAUCAAAUUAACAGAUAUUUUGAAAACAGUGGCGAACGAGCUAGUAACACCUUGGUACGUACCCGAAAGUUUGGUAUAGCUCGCCGAAAGGCGGGGUAAUCCCAAAUAGUCCCUUCAUCUAUCGGAUGAUAGGGUAAAGUAGCAAUACGCUUUCGGAUCGGCCUAGGUCCGGUCAGUUAGUUGGUGAGGUAAUGGCUCACCAAGACAAUGACCGGUAGGGG